Molecule: long non-coding RNA, 1868 nt
Organism: Grammomys surdaster
Lineage: Eukaryota; Metazoa; Chordata; Mammalia; Rodentia; Muridae
Exons: 2
Source: RefSeq, a predicted model, not a curated record
UUCUGUUUGUAGAGGGUUAUAUUCCUCUCUGCUAAUUAUGACUUCAACCUCAUUCAUUUAGUAACCCUCUUUCAUUCUUUACUUAUCCCGGAUUUUGGAUGGUAAGACGGGAUUUAUCAGUUCAGCGAUCUAUGAAGAUCAGACAAGCUUCGGGAAUUUUUGUCUAAUCCCAUUCAAGAUACCAUGCUGCAUUUACUUAUCAUUUUUCCUAGUCAUCUGUGUCACCUUUUGAUGACUGAUGACUCUCCUCUGCAUUUUGCCUAAGAUAACAAGCAUCACAUUGGAAUCUUAUGAACUCUCCACCUUCAGGUCAAGUCCGUAUUGUGGAAGACAUCAUGCACUUCAUAAACAAAGUCAAAAGACCCCUGAGUUCAAAUUGACCUGAAUGCUUCCUCCCGGAGGACUAGAUUUCAAGUCACCUGAAGGCGUCAUCCAAGCUUCCAAAGGACAGAGGCUACCAAAAGUCCUACCAAUCUGUGACAACUAUGAACCAUAUCAAUGGCAAGAAUAGUAUGAAAACCCUAAGGGGGUAACCGUGACAUGCAUAACAUUGUGGUAAACGACAACUCUCUAAUUAUACUUAAGAUCCAUUUAACAAGAGGAAAACCAUGUCUGGUACUAGAAACCUAACUAACUACUCAAUGCUAGUAAAGUCAUGGAGGAGAAUCUGCAACCACUACUUUGCUUAUCCAAUACAUUCUCUGUGAUGGUUUGAAAGAAAAUGGCCCCCACAGGCUUACAGGGAGUGCCACUGUUCGAAAGAAUUAGGAUGUAUGGCCUUAUUGGAGUACAUGUAGUUUUGUUGGAGGAAAUGUGUCAUUUGGUGUGAGCUUGAAGUUUCAGAUACUCAAACCAGGCCCAGUGGUUCUCUCCUCCUACUCCCUGCCACUCCAAAUCUAAAACUCUUGGCCUCUUCUUCAGUCUCUUCUUCAGUAUUAUGUCUGCCUACAGUGCUGCCAUGCUUCCUGAUGUGAUGAUAAUGGACUAAAUCUCUAAACUAUCCCCAAUUAAAUAUUGUCUUUUGUAAGGGUUGCAACGGUCAUGGUGUCUCUUCACAGCAACAGAAACUCUCACACAAUCCCUGGCAAUAAUCUACGAGCAUUUGUCUGUAUACCCACAGAUAAGUAUAGUCCUCACCCCUCCUACUUCAUCAAGGAACAUUUUCUUUGAAACAGAUGGAGACCACCGAGGAAAAGCACAACCAGUAUCAAAAUGCAGAGUUGUGGAUCCCAGUCCCAAUUGAAUACAGCUAUAAAAUACUUGUACACCUAAGGGUCAGGGAACAUUAUGGAAGAGGGGGCCAGAAAGAUUGUAAGAGCCAGAGGAUAAAGGAGUUUGCUGUGAGAUUAUAUGAAAAAAAAAAAAAACAUUGACAUCCAUAAACUCUCACCAACAUAACUGUCCAAACACAGUCUAAACAAAGAUAAAAUGAUGGACAUAGAAUACUGAGUGGAGAAAAGCCCAUGAGACCUAAACCAUACAAAAAGAACUAUAGACAAUCAAGGAAGCUGGAAGUGGGAGAGGUGAUCUUAACCCAGGGACGAGUACAAUUGGUUCUCCAUGGUAACCCAUGGAAACAUACAUACAAGUACCACUCUACAGAUUGAGCAGAUUAUAUUUAGGAAUAUAUAUCCAUACACACACACACACACACACACACACACACCACACACACACACACACACACACACACACACACAAUAUGAAUGCAAUAGAAAUUAUUGAAAAAAGUGCCCAUGAAUUUGAAAUUUGAAGGAGAGUGUAGUGGAGUGUAUGGGAUGGUUUCAACAGAGGAAAAGGGAGAAAUAGUUUAAUUCUAUUACAAUCUCAAAAAUAAAAACAAUGAUUUUUUUAAAGUCUCCACGAAA